This 458-nucleotide ribosomal RNA is filed under the name Salmonella enterica subsp. enterica serovar Durham. RNAcentral describes it as "partial 23S ribosomal RNA". It matches the Rfam family "Bacterial large subunit ribosomal RNA", at positions 2299 to 2756 of the family's 2925-position model. Lineage: Bacteria; Pseudomonadati; Pseudomonadota; Gammaproteobacteria; Enterobacterales; Enterobacteriaceae. The record is from RNAcentral.
AACGGAGGAGCACGAAGGUUGGCUAAUCCUGGUCGGACAUCAGGAGGUUAGUGCAAUGGCAUAAGCCAGCUUGACUGCGAGCGUGACGGCGCGAGCAGGUGCGAAAGCAGGUCAUAGUGAUCCGGUGGUUCUGAAUGGAAGGGCCAUCGCUCAACGGAUAAAAGGUACUCCGGGGAUAACAGGCUGAUACCGCCCAAGAGUUCAUAUCGACGGCGGUGUUUGGCACCUCGAUGUCGGCUCAUCACAUCCUGGGGCUGAAGUAGGUCCCAAGGGUAUGGCUGUUCGCCAUUUAAAGUGGUACGCGAGCUGGGUUUAGAACGUCGUGAGACAGUUCGGUCCCUAUCUGCCGUGGGCGCUGGAGAACUGAGGGGGGCUGCUCCUAGUACGAGAGGACCGGAGUGGACGCAUCACUGGUGUUCGGGUUGUCAUGCCAAUGGCACUGCCCGGUAGCUAAAUGC